Molecule: ribosomal RNA, 429 nt
Filed under: Verrucomicrobiota bacterium
Lineage: Bacteria; Pseudomonadati; Verrucomicrobiota
Description: Verrucomicrobia bacterium partial 16S ribosomal RNA
Rfam family: Bacterial small subunit ribosomal RNA
Source: RNAcentral
UAGGGAAUCUUCCGCAAUGGACGAAAGUCUGACGGAGCAACGCCGCGUGAGUGAAGAAGGAUUUCGGUUCGUAAAACUCUGUUGUUAGGGAAGAAAAAAUGUAUAGUAACUAUAUACAAAAGAGACGGUACCUAACCAGAAAGCCACGGCUAACUACGUGCCAGCAGCCGCGGUAAUACGUAGGUGGCAAGCGUUGUCCGGAAUUAUUGGGCGUAAAGCGCGCGCAGGUGGUUUAGAAAGUCUGAUGUGAAAGCCCACGGCUCAACCGUGGAGGGUCAUUGGAAACUAAUAAACUUGAGUGCAGGAGAGAAAAGUGGAAUUCCUAGUGUAGCGGUGAAAUGCGUAGAGAUUAGGAGGAACACCGGUGGCGAAAGCGGCUUUUUGGCCUGCAACUGACACUAAGGCGCGAAAGCGUGGGGAGCAAACAGG